This 1503-nucleotide ribosomal RNA is filed under the name Salmonella enterica subsp. enterica serovar Fillmore. RNAcentral describes it as "bacterial SSU rRNA". It matches the Rfam family "Bacterial small subunit ribosomal RNA". Lineage: Bacteria; Pseudomonadati; Pseudomonadota; Gammaproteobacteria; Enterobacterales; Enterobacteriaceae. The record is from RNAcentral.
AGAGUUUGAUCCUGGCUCAGAUUGAACGCUGGCGGCAGGCCUAACACAUGCAAGUCGAACGGUAACAGGAAGCAGCUUGCUGCUUCGCUGACGAGUGGCGGACGGGUGAGUAAUGUCUGGGAAACUGCCUGAUGGAGGGGGAUAACUACUGGAAACGGUGGCUAAUACCGCAUAACGUCGCAAGACCAAAGAGGGGGACCUUCGGGCCUCUUGCCAUCAGAUGUGCCCAGAUGGGAUUAGCUAGUUGGUGAGGUAACGGCUCACCAAGGCGACGAUCCCUAGCUGGUCUGAGAGGAUGACCAGCCACACUGGAACUGAGACACGGUCCAGACUCCUACGGGAGGCAGCAGUGGGGAAUAUUGCACAAUGGGCGCAAGCCUGAUGCAGCCAUGCCGCGUGUAUGAAGAAGGCCUUCGGGUUGUAAAGUACUUUCAGCGGGGAGGAAGGUGUUGCGGUUAAUAACCGCAGCAAUUGACGUUACCCGCAGAAGAAGCACCGGCUAACUCCGUGCCAGCAGCCGCGGUAAUACGGAGGGUGCAAGCGUUAAUCGGAAUUACUGGGCGUAAAGCGCACGCAGGCGGUCUGUCAAGUCGGAUGUGAAAUCCCCGGGCUCAACCUGGGAACUGCAUUCGAAACUGGCAGGCUUGAGUCUUGUAGAGGGGGGUAGAAUUCCAGGUGUAGCGGUGAAAUGCGUAGAGAUCUGGAGGAAUACCGGUGGCGAAGGCGGCCCCCUGGACAAAGACUGACGCUCAGGUGCGAAAGCGUGGGGAGCAAACAGGAUUAGAUACCCUGGUAGUCCACGCCGUAAACGAUGUCUACUUGGAGGUUGUGCCCUUGAGGCGUGGCUUCCGGAGCUAACGCGUUAAGUAGACCGCCUGGGGAGUACGGCCGCAAGGUUAAAACUCAAAUGAAUUGACGGGGGCCCGCACAAGCGGUGGAGCAUGUGGUUUAAUUCGAUGCAACGCGAAGAACCUUACCUGGUCUUGACAUCCACGGAAGUUUUCAGAGAUGAGAAUGUGCCUUCGGGAACCGUGAGACAGGUGCUGCAUGGCUGUCGUCAGCUCGUGUUGUGAAAUGUUGGGUUAAGUCCCGCAACGAGCGCAACCCUUAUCCUUUGUUGCCAGCGAUUAGGUCGGGAACUCAAAGGAGACUGCCAGUGAUAAACUGGAGGAAGGUGGGGAUGACGUCAAGUCAUCAUGGCCCUUACGACCAGGGCUACACACGUGCUACAAUGGCGCAUACAAAGAGAAGCGACCUCGCGAGAGCAAGCGGACCUCAUAAAGUGCGUCGUAGUCCGGAUUGGAGUCUGCAACUCGACUCCAUGAAGUCGGAAUCGCUAGUAAUCGUGGAUCAGAAUGCCACGGUGAAUACGUUCCCGGGCCUUGUACACACCGCCCGUCACACCAUGGGAGUGGGUUGCAAAAGAAGUAGGUAGCUUAACCUUCGGGAGGGCGCUUACCACUUUGUGAUUCAUGACUGGGGUGAAGUCGUAACAAGGUAACC